Molecule: ribosomal RNA, 500 nt
Filed under: uncultured bacterium
Lineage: Bacteria
Description: partial 16S ribosomal RNA
Rfam family: Bacterial small subunit ribosomal RNA
Source: RNAcentral
AUUGAACGCUGGCGGCAUGCCUUACACAUGCAAGUCGAACGGCAGCACGGACUUCGGUCUGGUGGCGAGUGGCGAACGGGUGAGUAAUACAUCGGAACGUGCCCAGUAAUGGGGGAUAACGCAGCGAAAGUUGUGCUAAUACCGCAUACGCCCUGAGGGGGAAAGGGGGGGAGCGCAAGACCUCAGGUUAGUGGAGCGGCCGAUGGCUGAUUAGCUAGUGAGUGAGGUAAAGGCUCACCAAGGCGACGAUCAGUAGCUGGUCUGAGAGGACGACCAGCCACACUGGGACUGAGACACGGCCCAGACUCCUACGGGAGGCAGCAGUGGGGAAUUUUGGACAAUGGGCGAAAGCCUGAUCCAGCAAUGCCGCGUGUGCGAAGAAGGCCUUCGGGUUGUGAAGCACUUUUGUCAGGGAAGAAAACUGUUUGGCUAAUACCCGAAUAGGAUGUCGGUACCUGAAGAAUAAGCACCGGCUAACUACGUGCCAGCCGCCGCAGUAA